This 529-nucleotide ribosomal RNA is filed under the name uncultured bacterium. Its description in RNAcentral is "bacterial LSU rRNA". It matches the Rfam family "Bacterial large subunit ribosomal RNA", at positions 328 to 856 of the family's 2925-position model. The record is from RNAcentral.
GAUAGCAGAAUUGACCUGGAAAGUCAAGCCAUAGAAGGUGAAAGCCCUGUAAGCGAAAUCGGAAGUUGGCAUGAGAGCGUACCUGAGUACCGCGGGACAUGUGGAAUCCUGUCUGAAUCAACCGGAACCAUCCGGUAAGGCUAAAUACUCCUGAGAGACCGAUAGCGAACUAGUACUGUGAAGGAAAGGUGAAAAGAACCCUGAACAAGGGAGUGAAAAAGACCCUGAAACCGUGUGCCUACAAGCGGUCGGAGCCUGGUAACGGGUGACGGCGUGCCUUUUGCAUAAUGAUCCUACGAGUUACUCCUCAUUGGCAAGGUUAAGAAUUUAAGGUUCGAAGCCGAAGCGAAAGCGAGUCUGAAUAGGGCGCUUAGUCAGUGGGGGUAGACGCGAAACCUUGUGAUCUACCCAUGGGCAGGUUGAAGCUGUGGUAACACACAGUGGAGGACCGAACCGAUAAACGUUGAAAAGUUCCGGAUGACCUGUGGGUAGGGGUGAAGGCCAAUCAAACUGGGAAAUAGCUCGUACU